This 427-nucleotide ribosomal RNA is filed under the name uncultured beta proteobacterium. RNAcentral's name for it is "bacterial SSU rRNA". It matches the Rfam family "Bacterial small subunit ribosomal RNA", at positions 355 to 774 of the family's 1533-position model. Lineage: Bacteria; Pseudomonadati; Pseudomonadota; Betaproteobacteria. The record is from RNAcentral.
UGGGGAAUUUUGGACAAUGGGCGAAAGCCUGAUCCAGCCAUGCCGCGUGAGUGAAGAAGGCCUUCGGGUUGUAAAGCUCUUUUAGUCGGAAAGAAAGAGUUGCAAUGAAUAAUUGUGAUUUAUGACGGUACCGACAGAAAAAGCACCGGCUAACUACGUGCCAGCAGCCGCGGUAAUACGUAGGGUGCGAGCGUUAAUCGGAAUUACUGGGCGUAAAGGGUGCGCAGGCGGUCUUGCAAGUCAGAUGUGAAAGCCCCGGGCUUAACCUGGGAAUUGCGUUUGGAACUACAAGGCUAGAGUGCAGCAGAGGGGAGUGGAAUUCCAUGUGUAGCAGUGAAAUGCGUAGAGAUGUGGAAGAACACCGAUGGCGAAGGCAGCUCCCUGGGUUGACACUGACGCUCAUGCACGAAAGCGUGGGGAGCAAACA